Long non-coding RNA from Panicum hallii, 474 nucleotides. RefSeq lists it as uncharacterized. The record is from RefSeq and is a predicted model, not a curated record. NCBI's taxonomy places the organism in Eukaryota, Viridiplantae, Streptophyta, Magnoliopsida, Poales, Poaceae. The transcript has 5 exons.
CAAUUAAUAAAAUGGGGGCAUGCACAAAGCCAUUCAGGACAAGAUGGGAGUAGAGCUACAUGGGGGCAACAGCAAUGCCAGCAAUUAGAGGGAAAGGGGUGGAUUGAGCCAUUGAGGGUUCAGCUAUUACAUCUUGCCAUCGAUUUGGCUACCUUUCUAAGGCCCUAUAUGUUUUGAAUCUUCUAAAGUGUAUCAGAUUUCACCGAGAUUCGCUGCCAUCCUGCCAUGUAUAGACUUUGUGGAGCUCUAGCCGUGGAGGCAGUCAAUGGUAACGAGGAUGUACCGUAGGACUUAGGAUCUAUCCAGAGGCAUUUGGAGAUGUCUCAUGUAGAAUUGAGUGCGAGGGCGGGUUGGGCCCUGAUUUGGCUGCGCCGAGUAUCUGCGUCACCAUCCCGAUCCCGUCCUCCAGCAAGCCGUGCAUCAUCCCUUCCCCCGCCAGCGGCCUCGCCGCGGCGGCGAGGGCACUCAUCAAGA